GACGAACGCUGGCGGCGUGCUUAACACAUGCAAGUCGAGCGGAAAGGCCCUUCGGGGUACUCGAGCGGCGAACGGGUGAGUAACACGUGAGUAAUCUGCCCUUGGCUUUGGGAUAACUACCGGAAACGGUGGCUAAUACCGGAUACGACAACCGUCUGCAUGGGCUGGUUGUGGAAAGUUUUUUCGGCCAGGGAUGUGCUCGUGGCCUAUCAGCUUGUUGGUGGGGUAAUGGCCUACCAAGGCUUCGACGGGUAGCCGGCCUGAGAGGGUGACCGGCCACACUGGGACUGAGACACGGCCCAGACUCCUACGGGAGGCAGCAGUGGGGAAUAUUGGACAAUGGGCGGAAGCCUGAUCCAGCAACGCCGCGUGAGGGAUGACGGCCUUCGGGUUGUAAACCUCUUUCAGUACCGACGAAGCGCCGAUGAUGGUGGUGACGGUAGGUACAGAAGAAGCACCGGCCAACUACGUG
Molecule: ribosomal RNA, 472 nt
Filed under: uncultured bacterium
Lineage: Bacteria
Description: partial 16S ribosomal RNA
Rfam family: Bacterial small subunit ribosomal RNA
Source: RNAcentral